UUGGAGGGCAAGUCUGGUGCCAGCAGCCGCGGUAAUUCCAGCUCCAAUAGCGUAUAUUAAAGUUGUUGCAGUUAAAAAGCCCGUAGUUGAAUUUCGGGGUCAAUAAGUUGGUCGUGCCAAUGGUAUGUACUGGCUUUAUUGAUUCCUACCUCUUGACGAACUGUGAUGCCAUUAAUUUGGUGUUGCAGGAAAUCAGGACUGUUACCUUGAAAAAAUUAGAGUGUUUAAAGCAGGCUUACGCUUGAAUACAUUAGCAUGGAAUAAUGAAAUAGGACGUUUGAACCUAUUUUGUUGGUUUCUAGGAUCGACGUAAUGAUUAAUAGGGAUAGUUGGGGGCAUUAGUAUUCAAUUGUCAGAGGUGAAAUUCUUGGAUUUAUUGAAGACUAACUACUGCGAAAGCAUUUGCCAAGGAUGUUUUCAUUAAUCAAGAACGAAAGUUAGGGGAUCGAAGACGAUCAGAUACCGUCGUAGUCUUAACCAUAAACUAUGCCGACUAGGGAUCGGAUGAUGUUAAUUUUUUAAUGACUCAUUCGGCACCUUACGGGAAAC
RNAcentral lists this ribosomal RNA (549 nucleotides) under uncultured Glomus. Its description in RNAcentral is "SSU rRNA". It matches the Rfam family "Eukaryotic small subunit ribosomal RNA", at positions 548 to 1098 of the family's 1831-position model. The record is from RNAcentral. Lineage: Eukaryota; Fungi; Glomeromycota; Glomeromycetes; Glomerales; Glomeraceae.